AACCCGCUUGAGUCAGCUUCUGCAUUGUGGAAGGUUUGUUCUUUCUCUCUUUGCAGUAAAUCUUACUGCUGCUCACUUUUUGGGUCCACACUGCGUUUAUUAGCUGCAACGCUCACCGCUAUGGUCUGCAGCUUCACUCCUGAAGCCAGCGAGACCACGAACCCACCAGAAUGAAGAAACUCCGAACACAUCCAAACAUCAGAAGGAACAAACUCCGGACAGGCGGCCUUUAAGAACUGUAACACUCACCUCGAGGGUCUGCGGCUUCAUUCUUGAAGUCAGUGAGACCAAGAACCCACCAAUUCCGGACACAAUGUUACUCCAGAUAAUCAGCGCCAUUUUCUGAAGCUUGAGAUGCAGGAAAAGAGGAGUGCUAUCCAUUAGAUGGAGACAGGAAGUAGAAAAAGAGCUUAAAGUUUUGGCUUGUGUUACUUCCUUGGGGAGAUCUUGCUGGACCACAUCAGGAAUAGGAGGGGUGUGUCCCCACAGCACUGUGUACACGCACUUGGGCAAACAGCUGAUAGGAGUUCAUUUUGUGAAGCUGUCACGAGUUUUCCAGUAGACCAUGAGCUUGCUGAUGGCAGGAGCCUGCCUGUCCUUGAUCCUUGUUUCUGUGGGGUCUAUCCCAGUGCCUGGCACAGUGGCUUUGGAGAUGGAAGGAAUAGAGGGAGAUCCUCAAACACAGCCUGCAUCUCUCCCUGCUCCCCUCCCACCCUCCAGUUUUCCAGCCAGAGGCAUUUGCUCUAAGGCCCAGGCUGUGGCCCACCUAUCACCGCUACCCAAGUAGUACAGGAAAAGGAAAUUUGAAGAGGAAAAGAGGCACCAGGGAUGAGGACACACCGAGAAAAGACCAUGUGAAGACAUGGCGAGAAGACAGCCAGCUGCAAGCCAAGGAGUGAGGCCUCAGAAGAAACCAACCCUGCCGACACCUUGACCUUGGACUUCUAGUCUCUAGAAUUAUGCGAAAAUAAAUUCCUGUUGUUUAAGCCACCCACUCUGUAGUAUUUUGUUAUGGCAGCCCCAAGCAAACUAAUACAGUAUCCUUGAAGAAAGAAGAAUUAUAAAACCUAACAGUUAAGGGGCAGUUAAUUGACAUAUUAAUAAUUCAUUUAGUCUUCUCUUCACAGAAACUCUCUAUAGGAGUUAUUACCAUUUAUCACCAUUUUACAGAGGAGAAAACUGAGGCACAAGAGGUCAAGUAACCUGCUUCAAAGUCAUAACUAGUAAGUGACAGAGGCAGUUUCUUCACUCUCAGUCCUCUAAAAAGCAAAGCCCAAGGUUAAAGUGCUGACAUUUAGU
This 1299-nucleotide long non-coding RNA is filed under the name Homo sapiens (human). Its description in RNAcentral is "non-protein coding lnc-INSC-2:15". The record is from RNAcentral. Lineage: Eukaryota; Metazoa; Chordata; Mammalia; Primates; Hominidae.